GAUGAACGCUGGCGGCGUGCCUAAUACAUGCAAGUCGAGCGAACAGACGAGGCGCUUGCUCCUCUGACGUUAGCGGCGGACGGGUGAGUAACACGUGGAUAACCUACCUAUAAGACUGGGAUAACUUCGGGAAACCGGAGCUAAUACCGGAUAAUAUAUUGAACCGCAUGGUUCAUUAGUGAAAGUCGGUUUUGCUGUCACUUCUAGCGGCAUCCGCGCUGCAUUAGCUAGUAGGUAAGGUAACGGCUUACGAAGGCAACGAUGCGUAGCCGAGCUGACAGGGUGGUCGGCCACACUGGAACUUAGACACGGUCCAGACUACUACGGGACGCAGCAGUAGGGAAUGUGCCGCAAUGGGCGAAAGCAUGACGGAGUGACGCCGCGUGAGUGAUGAAGGUCUUCCGAUCGUGAAGAUCUGUUAUUAGGGAAGAACAAAUGUGUAAGUAACUAUGCACGUCUUGACGGUACUUGAUCAGAAAGCAACGGCUAACUACGUG
RNAcentral lists this ribosomal RNA (497 nucleotides) under uncultured bacterium. RNAcentral's name for it is "partial 16S ribosomal RNA". It matches the Rfam family "Bacterial small subunit ribosomal RNA", at positions 28 to 507 of the family's 1533-position model. The record is from RNAcentral.